This 378-nucleotide unclassified non-coding RNA is filed under the name plant metagenome. RNAcentral's name for it is "partial contains 5.8S ribosomal RNA, internal transcribed spacer 2, and large subunit ribosomal RNA". The stretch from base 1 to 105 matches the Rfam family "5.8S ribosomal RNA", at positions 50 to 154 of the family's 154-position model. The record is from RNAcentral.
GAAAUGCGAUAAGUAGUGUGAAUUGCAGAAUUCAGUGAAUCAUCGAAUCUUUGAACGCACAUUGCGCCCCUUGGUAUUCCAUGGGGCAUGCCUGUUCGAGUAUCAUGAAAUCUUCAAAGUAAAUCUUUUGUUAACUCAAUUGGUUUCUACUUUGGUAUUGGAGGUCUUUGCAGCUUCACACCUGCUCCUCUUUGUUCAUUAGCUGGAUCUCAGUGUUAUGCUUGGUUCCACUCGGCGUGAUAAGUUAUCUAUCGCUGAGGACACUGUAAAAGGUGGCCAAGGUAAAUGCAGAUGAACCGCUUCUAAUAGUCCAUUGACUUGGACAAUACUUUUAUGAUCUGAUCUCAAAUCAGGUAGGACUACCCGCUGAACUUAAGC